AGUGAACGCUGGCGGUAGGCCUAACACAUGCAAGUCGAACGGCAGCACAGUAAGAGCUUGCUCUUACGGGUGGCGAGUGGCGGACGGGUGAGGAAUACAUCGGAAUCUACUUUUUCGUGGGGGAUAACGUAGGGAAACUUACGCUAAUACCGCAUACGACCUACGGGUGAAAGCAGGGGAUCUUCGGACCUUGCGCGAUUGAAUGAGCCGAUGUCGGAUUAGCUAGUUGGCGGGGUAAAGGCCCACCAAGGCGACGAUCCGUAGCUGGUCUGAGAGGAUGAUCAGCCACACUGGAACUGAGACACGGUCCAGACUCCUACGGGAGGCAGCAGUGGGGAAUAUUGGACAAUGGGCGCAAGCCUGAUCCAGCCAUACCGCGUGGGUGAAGAAGGCCUUCGGGUUGUAAAGCCCUUUUGUUGGGAAAGAAAAGCAGCAGGUUAAUACCCCGCUGUUCUGACGGGACCCAAAGAAGAAACACCGGCUAACUUCGG
This 491-nucleotide ribosomal RNA is filed under the name uncultured bacterium. RNAcentral describes it as "partial 16S ribosomal RNA". It matches the Rfam family "Bacterial small subunit ribosomal RNA", at positions 29 to 506 of the family's 1533-position model. The record is from RNAcentral.